This 253-nucleotide ribosomal RNA is filed under the name uncultured bacterium. RNAcentral's name for it is "partial 16S ribosomal RNA". It matches the Rfam family "Bacterial small subunit ribosomal RNA", at positions 524 to 776 of the family's 1533-position model. The record is from RNAcentral.
GACGUAGGGGGCCAGCGUUGUUCGGAAUUACUGGGUGUAAAGGGUUCGUAGGCGGUGUGGCAAGUCGGGAGUGAAAUUUCUGGGUUCAACUCAGAGACUGCUUCCGAAACUGCUGUGCUGGAGUGUGGGAGAGGCGCGUGGAAUUGCAGGUGUAGCGGUGAAAUGCGUAGAUAUCUGCAGGAACACCCGUGGCGAAAGCGGCGCGCUGGACCACUACUGACGCUGAGGAACGAAAGCUAGGGGAGCAAACAGG